CCUACGGGUGGCAGCAGUGAGGAAUAUUGGUCAAUGGGCGCGAGCCUGAACCAGCCAAGUAGCGUGAAGGAUGACUGCCCUACGGGUUGUAAACCUCUUUUAUAAAGGAAUACAGUGAGGCACGUGUGCCUUUUUGUAUGUACUUGAUGAAUAAGGAUCGGCUAACUCCGUGCCAGCAGCCGCGGUAAUACGGAGGAUCCGAGCGUUAUACGGAUUUAUUGGGUUUCAAGGGUGCGUAGGUGGGCUGUUAAGUCAGUGGUGAAAGUUUGCGGCUCAACCUUAAAAUGGCAAUUGAUACUGGUAGUCGUGAGUGCAGGUGAGGUAGGCGGAAUUCGUGGUGUAGCGGUGAAAUGCUUAGAGAUCACGAAGAACUCCGAUUGCGAAGGCAGCUUACUAAACCGCCACUGACAUUGAUGCUCGAAAGUGUGGGUAUCAAACAGGAUUAGAUACCCUAGUAGUC
This 460-nucleotide ribosomal RNA is filed under the name uncultured bacterium. RNAcentral's name for it is "partial 16S ribosomal RNA". It matches the Rfam family "Bacterial small subunit ribosomal RNA", at positions 338 to 795 of the family's 1533-position model. The record is from RNAcentral.